CACGUAGGGGGCAAGCGUUGUCCGGAUUUAUUGGGCGUAAAGAGCUCGUAGGCGGUUUGUCGCGUCUGCUGUGAAAACUCAGGGCUUAACCCUGAGCCUGCAGUGGGUACGGGCAGACUAGAGUGUGGUAGGGGAGAUCGGAAUUCCUGGUGUAGCGGUGGAAUGCGCAGAUAUCAGGAGGAACACCGGUGGCGAAGGCGGAUCUCUGGGCCAUAACUGACGCUGAGGAGCGAAAGCAUGGGGAGCGAACAGG
This 253-nucleotide ribosomal RNA is filed under the name uncultured bacterium. RNAcentral describes it as "partial 16S ribosomal RNA". It matches the Rfam family "Bacterial small subunit ribosomal RNA", at positions 524 to 776 of the family's 1533-position model. The record is from RNAcentral.